GACAGAAAGAGAGAGAGAGAGAGAGAGAGAGAGAGAGAGAGAGAGAGAGAGGGAGGAAAAUAAAGAAGGAGGGAGGGAAGAGAGAUUGUUCAUCUAACUCCUCUCUCUCUCUCUCUCUCUCUCUCUCUCUCUCCAUAUGCUCAUUUUAGUU
RNAcentral lists this microRNA precursor (151 nucleotides) under Marmota monax (woodchuck). Lineage: Eukaryota; Metazoa; Chordata; Mammalia; Rodentia; Sciuridae. The record is from RNAcentral.